This 71-nucleotide transfer RNA is filed under the name Camelus bactrianus (Bactrian camel). It matches the Rfam family "tRNA". Rfam says of the family: Transfer RNA (tRNA) molecules are approximately 80 nucleotides in length. Their secondary structure includes four short double-helical elements and three loops (D, anti-codon, and T loops). RNAcentral also lists the same sequence under 2 other names. Lineage: Eukaryota; Metazoa; Chordata; Mammalia; Artiodactyla; Camelidae. The record is from Rfam by way of RNAcentral.
GAGGGUAUGCUGAGUGGUAAAGCACGCGCCUAGCAUGUACAAGGUCCUGGGUUCAGUCCCCAGUGCCUCCA